GUGCCAGCCGCCGCGGUAAUACGAAGGGGGCUAGCGUUGUUCGGAAUCACUGGGCGUAAAGCGUAUGUAGGCGGAUUGUUAAGUCAGGGGUGAAAUCCCGAGGCUCAACCUCGGAACUGCCUUUGAUACUGGCUUUCUUGAGUUCGGGAGAGGUGAGUGGAACUCCUAGUGUAGAGGUGAAAUUCGUAGAUAUUAGGAAGAACACCAGUGGCGAAGGCGGCUCACUGGCCCGAUACUGACGCUGAUGUACGAAAGCGUGGGGAGCAAACAGGAUUAGAUACCCUGGUAGUCC
RNAcentral lists this ribosomal RNA (292 nucleotides) under uncultured bacterium. RNAcentral's name for it is "partial 16S ribosomal RNA". It matches the Rfam family "Bacterial small subunit ribosomal RNA", at positions 505 to 796 of the family's 1533-position model. The record is from RNAcentral.